RNAcentral lists this ribosomal RNA (350 nucleotides) under uncultured bacterium. RNAcentral's name for it is "SSU rRNA". It matches the Rfam family "Bacterial small subunit ribosomal RNA", at positions 26 to 369 of the family's 1533-position model. The record is from RNAcentral.
AGAACGAACGCUGGCGGCGUGGAUAAGACAUGCAAGUCGGACGCGACUUAUCUUGUUAGCAAUAACGAGGUAAGUUGAGUGGCGAAAGGGUGCGUAACACGUGGGAAUUUACCAAGAAGUGGGGGAAUAGCUCGACGAAAGUCGAAUUAAUACCGCAUGUGAUCGUAAGAUCAAAGCCGGGGACCGCAAGGCCUGGCGCUUUUUGAGAAGCCCGCGGCCCAUCAGCUAGUUGGUGAGGUAAUGGCUCACCAAGGCUAUGACGGGUAGCUGGUCUGAGAGGACGACCAGCCACACUGGAACUGAGACACGGUCCAGACACCUACGGGUGGCAGCAGUCGAGUAAUUUUCAC